CGCGCGCAUCUCGUUGUCCAAGCAAAUUUUCACAUAUUUCGCGACGACGUUAUAAAUUGUUGUUAAUUUCUGACGACUUUGAAAAUUCGUUUCGCGUAUUCGAUUUUUAAGAAGUCGUCAACUUUUUAAUGAAUAAAUUAACGGAAACACGCGUAUAGAACGGUGUUAACCUCGUGAGCUCGUGUAUAUGUAGUAGGUAAUCCUUGAGAACAGAUUACGAGAGGAAAAUGAACUUUUUUGUGCUGGAAGUACAUGGUCAAAGGUUGAAACUUGAAACAUACAAAUUUUUUCGUAACUGGAAUUCGCUCGAACCGCAAAUUUUUGGACUGAACAUCAUUGAAAUUGGAAGAAAAUUGAAUUUCCAGAUUUCCAGAUUAGUUUUCAGAUUUUUCUUUUGUCGAACGAUUUUGGAGCUUUAGGAACAUCGUGUGAGGAGAAGGUAUUUACUCAAUAUUAUCGUGCUGAAAAAAUUGAACUUCUGACUCUGACUCUCCUGUUGAACACUUAUCGACGAAGGAAAACUGUUCCAUUAAUACAAAAUAAAUAUUCCCAUGAUUAUACUAAUAUCACAAAUGAAUGAAAUUAGGUACCUAUUUAGAUAAGUAUAAUGUUGUGCAUCUUUUGUUCAGCUUUCAAAAAUUGCCUCAUUCGAUUUACAUAUUACAUAUUAUUAUAAGCUUAUAACAUAUUAUACUUAUACGACUGGCAUUCUGCUAAUAUAAUAAUUAUAGCAGUAUAUCUGAUACGUGUCUGGGUCUGCUGCCUCUCUAUAAGUUAAGUACCUACCCUAAACUAUAUCCUAUGUAG
Long non-coding RNA from Planococcus citri (citrus mealybug), 807 nucleotides. RefSeq lists it as uncharacterized. Lineage: Eukaryota; Metazoa; Arthropoda; Insecta; Hemiptera; Pseudococcidae. The transcript is spliced from 3 exons. The record is from RefSeq and is a predicted model, not a curated record.